This 374-nucleotide long non-coding RNA is filed under the name Androctonus crassicauda. The record is from RNAcentral. Lineage: Eukaryota; Metazoa; Arthropoda; Arachnida; Scorpiones; Buthidae.
AUCUAUUUCAGCCUCUGCCUUCACAGCCUCUGUUAGGUCAGUCACGAGCUAUUCCACCACGAAACUUCCAGAGUAGAGCGAAUGGUCGGAGCCGAAAUGGCACAAAUUCUUGACUAAUGUGGGAUCAAUUCAUUUUAAAACGGUGUAUCGGGUCGGACAAUAAUCAAGCAAAGCUGUCACAUGCUUUUGUUUCUGUAAAGGGGAAGCAGAAACACAAUAUUAAACCUAAAUCCAAAAAUAUCAUUCAAUUUAAAGGAUUGUUGGGACCAAAAUGGGCCAAGGACACAGAUCCCAGCCUGAAAUGCAUAAUAAACGGGCGUUUAAGCUACUUAACGAUUGACACCGGAGCUAAAGUUACUUUAUUGUCGAAAACG